Non-coding RNA from Osmia lignaria (orchard mason bee), 2243 nucleotides. NCBI's taxonomy places the organism in Eukaryota, Metazoa, Arthropoda, Insecta, Hymenoptera, Megachilidae. The record is from RefSeq and is a predicted model, not a curated record.
AAAUUCCGUUAUUAUAAUUAUUACUAUUAUUAUUACUAUUGCCGUUAUUAUUAUGACUAUUAUUAUGGCUGAACUUCGUCUUGGGGGACCAAAAAUUUCUGGAUGAAAAGUAUCAAAUCUUAUAGUUUUUGACCUGAAACAUUCGAAAAUGCAAGUUAAAUGUCCAGGAAACCAAUAGUUUAAGAAAUACAAGUGUUUAAAAAUGUACGUAUUUAGUGACGUUUGACAGGUUACAACGACGCCAUGUUGCUCCUACCCAUCUUCUGAUUGGUUCGCACGAAGGUUCGCGCGUAAAUUUCAAUCUGUUCAUUUAUUUCAGGUAUCAUUUGUUAACUCUAUCAAUUUUUUUAUGGAACUGUUAUAUUCUUGGUAGCAUUAUUGUCGGAACUGUCUUUUAUUGUUGCUGUGUUUUUUGUAUCUUUUAUUUAUUUUUUGUGUGUUUUUUAUAUUUUUUGUGUUUUUUUGUAUAUUUCUAUAUAAUGAGUACGAUAAAAUAUAAUUUAUGCAGGUAUUUGAAUUUUAUGUGUUAUUUUCUUUAAUAUAAUUUAUACAUUUUAAUUUUCUGUAUAUUUUGUAUGUAGUAUCUGUGUUUUUAUGAAUUUCAUUUAAUAUGAUUUAUGCAGCUUGCCCGCUUCGAAGGAAUCGGCUGUUUCAUGGGCCAGGGAGAAAGGACUCCUACGUACUAUAAGAAAUUGUAGUACCCAUCGCCGGCCCAUGAAGCUUUACGCAGGCGGGGAACACGGUCUUGGCCGUUUCCGAUGCCCUGCUGGCCGCGGUAACUGCAAACAGUACGCGGCCACAGUCGAUUCCUUCUUUCAGGAUGUCCGUCUGCCCUUACAUAAGGCAAUAAAGCUUAUGUAUUGCUUCACUUCCGACUUCUCCUACGAGGUUACCGCAACGGAGGUAUCCGACGUAGGAGAAGAUGAGGAAGUGUUGUCAACGGACACGAUUGCAGCGUGGUUCCGCUACUGUCGGGAGAUGAUAGUGGACCACGUUUGCAAAAUGCAAGCGGGCAAGCCGAAAUUAGGCGGGAUCGAUGAAGGAGGUUCUGCAAUCGUUGUACAGAUCGAUGAGGCCAAAUUUAUACUCGACGGCCACUGGGUACUUGGCAUGGUCGACACAUCGACUAACGAUUGUAGAAUGGUUGUCGUUCAAUACCGGGAAGCGGCAACCUUGAUCCCCCUAAUUAAAGAAAACGUUGCUGCAGGCAGUGAGAUCCAUACGGACUCAUUUAGGAGUUACAUGGGUCUCGCUGCUGAAGGAUUCAUCCAUAAGAUGGUGAAUCAUAGCGUCGAAUUUGUUGCGCCUGAUGGAACUCAUACGCAACAAAUUGAAGCGAACUGGCGACCGGCAAAGGAUUGGACGCGCGGAAGAGGCCGCUUCCAUGACGAAGAAUUUGCCGAUCGCUUGUGUGAGUAUUUGUGGAGAAAAUUCUGCAAAACUCACAGAAUUCAUCUUAUGGAUUCCUUGAUCGCAGCAAUCAAGGAGCAGUAUGUUUUCGAAUAAGGUAACUUGAACUUAGUCACUUAAACGAACCAAUCAGAUGAUGGGUAGAAACAAUAUGGCGUCACUCUAACCUCUGAAAUGUCACUAAAUACGUCAAAAACAACAAAAAAAAAAGGACCCCUUAAUUUUUGGUCCCCCAAGACGAAGUUUUACCAUUAUUAUUAUUGAAAAAGAUAUUUUUUAAAGUUUUUUCUAAGUGUUUAGGUUUUUCAAUAACUUCUGCUGAUGAGAUGCAGUAACAGGAGGAGAAGAUAGAAAUUAAAUAAGAAAGAGGAAGAAAAUGUGCAUCAUCAGAGGGUGCAUUAACGAAAACAGCAGGAUGUUCUCCUUCCCCUAAGAGAGGAAGGAUAAGAAGAGGAUGGCACAGUGGAUGGAAGUAUGUGACAAUCCAAAGUCAGUGCUUUCACCUGAAAACUGAAAUUCCGGGUGAUCUGUAGUAGCUACUUUAAGAACAAUACUUCAUGAGGAAAAGAUUAACAUCAGCAGUUCCAACACUGAACUUACUUGUGUCAGAGACUAUCUCUAUUAAAAUAGAGCAACAAGACAUCUGGAUGCAAAUGAAAAGAAGAAAAAGAGGAAGAUUUUAAACUUGACUGCACCAGGGGAGUGGAGAACGUGAUUUUCAAUUGUAUGUUAUUGUAUAUUAUUAUUGACAUAUAUAUAUAUAUAUAUAUAUAUAUAUAUAUAUAUAUAUAUUUAUUAUAUUUUAGUAAAAAUUUAAUAUAUUUCCAUUACUG